CCUACGGGAGGCAGCAGUGGGGAAUAUUGGACAAUGGGCGCAAGCCUGAUCCAGCAAUGCCGCGUGAGUGAUGAAGGCCUUAGGGUCGUAAAGCUCUUUUACCAGGGAUGAUAAUGACAGUACCUGGAGAAUAAGCUCCGGCUAACUCCGUGCCAGCAGCCGCGGUAAUACGGAGGGAGCUAGCGUUGUUCGGAAUUACUGGGCGUAAAGCGUACGUAGGCGGUUAUUCAAGUCAGAGGUGAAAGCCCGGGGCUCAACCCCGGAACGGCCUUUGAAACUAGGUAGCUAGAAUCUUGGAGAGGUCAGUGGAAUUCCGAGUGUAGAGGUGAAAUUCGUAGAUAUUCGGAAGAACACCAGUGGCGAAGGCGACUGACUGGACAAGUAUUGACGCUGAGGUACGAAAGCGUGGGGAGCAAACAGGAUUAGAUACCCUGGUAGUCCACGCCGUAAACGAUGAUAACUAGCUGUCCGGGCACUUGGUGCCUGGGUGGCGCAGCUACGACAUUAAGUUAUACCGUCCGUCGGGUAGGUACGGUCGCGAGAAUAAACUUAAACGUAAGUAGUAGACGCGNGAGAGCGACGACGACGACGACGGAGGAGGAG
This 603-nucleotide ribosomal RNA is filed under the name uncultured bacterium. Its description in RNAcentral is "bacterial SSU rRNA". The stretch from base 1 to 519 matches the Rfam family "Bacterial small subunit ribosomal RNA", at positions 338 to 873 of the family's 1533-position model. The record is from RNAcentral.